UAGGGAAUCUUCCGCAAUGGACGCAAGUCUGACGGAGCAACGCCGCGUGAGUGAAGAAGGAUUUCGGUUCGUAAAACUCUGUUGUUAGAGAAGAACAGCGCAUAGAGUAACUGUUAUGCGUGUGACGGUAUCUAACCAGAAAGCCACGGCUAACUACGUGCCAGCAGCCGCGGUAAUACGUAGGUGGCAAGCGUUGUCCGGAUUUAUUGGGCGUAAAGCGAGCGCAGGCGGUCAAUUAAGUCUGAUGUGAAAGCCCCCGGCUCAACCGGGGAGGGUCAUUGGAAACUUGUUGACUUGAGUGCAGAAGAGGAGAGUGGAAUUCCAUGUGUAGCGGUGAAAUGCGUAGCUAUAUGGGGGAACACCAGUGGCGAAGGCGACUCUCUGGUCUGUAACUGACGCUGAGGCUCGAAAGCGUGGGUAGCAAACAGG
This 429-nucleotide ribosomal RNA is filed under the name Bacteroidota bacterium. Its description in RNAcentral is "Bacteroidetes bacterium partial 16S ribosomal RNA". It matches the Rfam family "Bacterial small subunit ribosomal RNA", at positions 355 to 776 of the family's 1533-position model. The record is from RNAcentral. Lineage: Bacteria; Pseudomonadati; Bacteroidota.